This is a long non-coding RNA of Carya illinoinensis, 5455 nucleotides long. RefSeq lists it as uncharacterized. NCBI's taxonomy places the organism in Eukaryota, Viridiplantae, Streptophyta, Magnoliopsida, Fagales, Juglandaceae. The transcript has 5 exons. The record is from RefSeq and is a predicted model, not a curated record.
CAAAUUUUCGAUCGUUACCACCGACGCCGUCUUCUUGCUGCCGUCAGUUUCUCAUUCUCUCUCUCUCUCUCUCUCUCUCUCUCUAGCUCUCGCUCGGAUUCAAGAGCAACAUUUCUUGGUCAUUGUCAUGUAGUCCACAAUUUCUCUCCUUUUCUCUUUGAUUUUCUUUUUGUUGGCUACCAAAAAUUCUGAGAGCAGCAUUUCCUUUGCACGAAAGUAAGCCACUCCAGCCGUUACCAGUCAACGCAGCACCACUCAAGCCAUCUGGUAUAUUGACAUUUGAUACAGGCAUGAGGUUGAACAACAAACAAGUCAGUUAGCGCACAAUAUGCAUUGCAACAUAACAUGACAACAACUUAUUCAAACUUAAUGCUUGCAGGUUUGGAUUUUAGCACCGCAUAUCUUCCUCAAUGAACUAAAAUGAAUUUCAAUCAACUUCCCCUGCACAAAAUCAGAACCUAUGUAAACAAAACUGCCUAGUCUUAAGAUCUUAUUUGUAAAUAGCAAAAACAGAGGGUAGCCAUCAAUCAUCCAUAUAAAACCCUAGCAGUCCACACCAAACAAAAAUGUCUAAGCUAUGAACUGUGAUAAACCUAGGAGCACCUUCUGCAAUGAAGAAAAGAAAGAAGGAAACUCACAAAUCGGCUAGAGUUGUCAUUCCUAGAUGUUUUUACAUUCCCAAAUUCUUCCAGUAUAUAAUUGGUCUGAACGAUCUCAUAUUCUAUCCCGCAACUGCCACCAACAACAGUCAAAUAUUGCAUUGCAAUUUUAGCUGUCUCAGUUUUCCCAUCUCCACUUUCCCCACUGAAAAAAGACGUAAAGAUUAACCCAUGUGCUACCAAUCAAAUAUACAGAGUGAGCUCAAAGACCAGUAUAGAAGAAUAGCAGCUAAAUAAUAAUGAGGAAAAUGCCCAUAGCCGAGCUCCAAGUUAGUAAGAUUUAAUUGAAUCCCUUCUAACCUUAUGAUUAUGGACUAAUUUACUUCAUCUGCAAAAUAAAAUUAUAGCAAAUAGAAAAGCGUUCAACAAGAAUUUAAUGAUAUUAAAGGUAAUAUCAUUCUAGGUAAUGUCCAUGUUGCACAUGCAUUUAGGAAUUUUAAAAGGAAUGAUUUACUUGAUUCAGUUUGUGGUAGAUCCCAUCCUUUUGUCAAAACUUGCAAUCUAAUAUGCUGCACCGUAACCAUAAUAAGAAUUGUGUUUUAUUUUAGGAUAGAAUAUUGAGAGGACUAAUGAAGUCAUGGGUUUGGACGAGAAAAUUUUAGAAACAUGCUUAUAUAGUACAUACGACAAUUGCAAGGUGAUUAGAGGUCCCCUGGAAUUAUACCACUUGCAGUGAAAGAUGCUUUCAUAAUCAUCCAAGAGGUAAGGCAUGAGGGAUAUUAGCCUCUCUAUACCUUCCAUCCAUAAUUUUUUUUAACAAAAUCUACAGAGUCUGACGUAUAUAUAUGCCCUAGACUCCAAACAGAGAGUUUCUUCUUCAUGUCAUACUUGGAAAUCUACAAUGAGGUGAGCUUCUUGCUAUUCUCUAUUAUUUAUUCUUGGUUUGUGAUGGCUUUGAUUAAAAUUCUCACUGUUUUCCAUAAACUUAUCCUGAGUCAUAGUUUUAUUAUACGCAUAUGUUGUAUAUACUCUAGCUUUGAUGCUGAAUUAUUUUUCCAACGACUUCAAUAACCUUCAAGGUUUAAUUCCAUUUCAGGUUAUCAACACCUUUUACAUUCUUUUAGCUUAUUUCAGAAAGUUGAGCACAUGGAAUAAGCUACACUGUUUUCCAUGUUUUAUUUUCUAAACCUCUUGUCCAGAUAAGUUACUUGUACGUUCAUGCAUAUUGUUUGUUAGAAGUACAUAUAUAUAUAUAUAUAUAUUGUGAUAUCUCCAUGAGGCUACGCUCCAAAGCUGCUAGGAAUGUCUCUUAAUUAAGGGUUUGAUCAGUAUCUUAAAUCCAAUGUGCACAUUUUUAUAAAAAGAAAAAGGAAAAACCCAUACUUGACUUUCUAUUACCUAUAUUACCUAUGAUGCUUGUCAUAAUUUAUUUUAUCUCUCAUUACAUUUUUUUUAUUCACAUAAUAUCUAAGAUAAAAGUUAUAUUGUAACUGAUAUUUUAGGUUUCUGUUUUUUUGUACAACCCUAGUUCGUAAGGAAAUUUAAGUUGAGACUGAUAGAAUAAUUGGGAAGAUGAAACAGAUUUCUCUUGUUCCUAUGCAUCUCAGUAUCUAUUCUCCAAAUGGUGUGUUACUAAUUUUACUUUUGUUGUCAACUUUCUUGCCUUGUUAUUUGGGUUAAUUUGUUAUGAUGUCUAUAGAGUACUACUAUCAAACUCUGUGUCUUUUGUAUGUGCUUUGUGGAAAGUUAUGUUAUUAUGUUGUAAUAAUGACUAACCAAACAACUGGAACAUAUUAUAUUAGAUCUAGCUGCAGCUAUUCUCCUUAUAGAGGACAUCAUAUCCCUAACGCUAAACAUGUUACUUGAACUCGUAUAAAUAUAAUAAUUGGUAUAUGUAUAUGCAAACUUUAUAAAGAUGUUAACGCCCUUUCAUGGAUAUAGAACUAGAAUGACACCCAUUGGAGCACUGAGAAUUGACUCUUGAGGUUCUCAAAAUAGAAUUUGAAUUCAAAAUUUUAAAAACAACCAUCAGAAUUCCCUAAACAAUAUUAUAAAUUAAUGAGAAUAGUAUCAUAAAUAGUAACAACCAUGAUGACAUCAGGAUUGUCCAUACCUAUGAUAUCAUAAGAUAAACUAUUAAUAGACAACUUCUCGCAAGCCAUGAAACUAUAACUAAGCCCCUCCAAGUUAUGCAUAACAAGAACGUAUUACAGUGCAAAAAUAAAUUAUUAAACAAAAUAUGCAAGCUUGGCCUUGAAGGAACAGAACUACAAAUAGCAAAACAUCUCAUGCCUAAACCAACCGGUAGACAUAUAUGCCAAGAAGGUAUAGCCAAGUUGCCAAAACAAAUGGUCCAUGCUAAACACUAUGAAAUGUUAGAAUAAUUAGACUAUUAAAUCCCACCAUAAAGAUGAUCAUACCACACAUUAGGGUUAUUUCAUCCAUAGCCUAUUUCAAGCAAUAAUUCACCCAUUUGUAAAAGCCAAGGUCAAAUACUAAUUAACAAGCAAAGUUGAAAUAUAUAGCACAAUCUAAAAAUGCAUGCGUGCAUAAUAGCUUCUAAUUUUCAAUUCCACACACGAAUUGAAAAUAUUGUCAUAAAAAAAUUGAUGUGAAGGUAUCUUCUGACUUCAAAAGGUGAUAGUAAUGCAAUGUUAAAGUUCAAAUCAUAAACAUACACACGUCCAGUAACGAGUUUUGAGAGGCUUCUCUAUAAAUAGGAAAUUAAAGAAAAGGUCCAAUACAAAGUCACCUCCCUCUAGAAACUGCUUCCUGCAAUUCCCCAUGUGAGGAUGAGAACAACUCUAUAUAUCGACUCCCAAGAGUCAUCCCAUCUUUAACCAUUGCUGCUUUUGAAUCUUUUGCAUUUCCAAACUCCACAAAUGCUUCAUUAUAUCUGACAAAACAAAAUCUUUAAAGAACUCCAUUAUAUCAUCCUUACAAGCAGAAAAUGGCAGUCCCUGCAACCUCAAUACACCCAUGUGUUCAGCUGAGUCAUUCCCCUCAUCAUAAGAUUUAGCCAUUUGGACCCUUCGAUGCAGUGAACCACCCCGACUAUCUUAAACUUUAUAAUAAUUGUUUGGAGUUAUUUUGAAAUAAUUCUUCUAACGACCUAUUCAUGCUUGUUUCUAGAUGGACAAGAGUUAGAUGUAAAUCACUGAUAGAUUUGGAUCUAGGGAAUAUGCUAAAAGAGUUAAGGAGUUUCUUACCUUGGCCCGGUCUCAUGCUACAAGUGAGGCAAUCCUUUGCCCAUGUGUCCGAUGUUCAAAUAAUCACUUUUGACCAAUAAGUCAGGUAGAGAGACACUUGCUCAUUAAAGGUAUUGACAAGAAUUAUACUGUGUAGAUUUUUCAUGGUGAGGAAGAAGAUUUAAUCAUAAGUGAUGAUGAUGAUGAUCUACAUGAUCCCGAACAAGAGGAUUGCUUCAUUGAUGAUGUUAAUGCUAUGUUACGAGAUAUUCGUGUUGGGGAAUUUCCUGAUGUUCCCAUAACUGAGUCAUUCCAUGUUGAGGGUUCACCAUUGGUCGAUAUUAAUUUAUCUUGCACUUUCAAUCAUGUUGACAACUAAAAGUGGCUAAGGUAGAGGUAGAGGCCGAGCAUGCGGUGUGAGCUACAGUGAAGGUAGAUCUCAAAGAAACGAAGUUCGAAAUAAAGUACCUAUUGUUGCGCUUAGAGAUGAUGCAUUCUCAAGCUCAGAUGACUAAGUUGAGCAACCUAAUGUCAUCCCAAAUGAUAUGCUAACAGUCAUUGUAUGACUAAGCACAAACCCGCCUGUACCCCUUGCCGGAAGUGUGGCCAAGGAGAAGCAAAAGGAACAGAAUUUGAGAAUGUACGAAAACAUGGAAAGAUACCCUUGAGGAUAAAGGACUGUGAGACUGCACCUUGUUGUGAAAAUGCACUCAUUUUUACUACAAGAACUACAUGGUUGGUUAAGCAUUAUAUGGACUUGAGUCAUGCAAGCUAGCACGACGUACCAACUAAUAAAAAAGAAGAAUUGAUUUCAAGAGUUCAAGUAAAAGUUUUGAAUUUCAUACAUAUUCAAAUAGGGUUUCGAAUUAAUUUGUUUGAUGUUUAUCUCUAGAAUGACUUCAUCCUCGAUUGGACCAAGAAGAAUAAUCGUGAUGCGAUUACGAAAACACUAUGCAAGCAGUUUAAUCAUAUUCACUAUGAUUUACAUAGAACCUAUAAGUAAUAUGAUGGUAAUGAAGAAGCACUUGCAAAUGUGCGAUCGUGGGUGACACCAGCCACUUGGGUGAAGUUAUGUGCUUAAUAUUCAAGCGAGAACUUCAAGCGAAUGUCUAAACGAAAUAAAUUUAAUAGGGAGAAGCAACAAAACAAUCAUAUGGCUGGAUGAAGGUCAUUUGUGCGGCUAAUGGAGAUGAGGUUGACAGGAUAAGAUGGCUGCAAAUAUGUCAAAGUUGGAGCCUGAGAAGCGGACUAAGGAGGCUACAAUGAAAAUUUUCAAGAAAGUUUUGGGUCAAAGGUUAGGGUAUGUAAAGGGGCUCGGCGAGAUGGUUAUUCCUGAGUCAUCUAGACAAGCAACUUAUGCCUGAAUAGCAGAAUUAAAUGAACGUGCAAAAAGGCAUAAGAAAGAGGCUCCAGAUUAUAAGGGACAACUUGAUGACUUACUUGAGAAUGUCAAGUUACUACAAGCCAAUUAUAACAAGUUUAUAGAGAGAUAUGAGUCAGAGAGGCAAAUUCAAAGAAAAACAAGCCAAGUACGACAAGUUUGAGUACUGCAAAUGUGAGUUUGCGACUUCUAUAAGGCUUGGUAUCAUUGUCUGGAACUCACUGAAGAAUAGGUUUACUUGUACUAUAAUGAACUCAUUAUUCUCUCUAUUGACAUGCAUUGUAGUU